RNAcentral lists this ribosomal RNA (460 nucleotides) under uncultured bacterium. RNAcentral's name for it is "partial 16S ribosomal RNA". It matches the Rfam family "Bacterial small subunit ribosomal RNA", at positions 338 to 795 of the family's 1533-position model. The record is from RNAcentral.
CCUACGGGUGGCAGCAGUGAGGAAUAUUGGUCAAUGGACGGAAGACUGAACCAGCCAAGCCGCGUGAAGGAUGACGGUACAAUGUAUCGUAAACCUCUUUUGUCAGGGGACAAAUGCGGGUACGCGUCCCCGGAUGAGAGUACCUGACGAAAAAGCAUCGGCUAACUCCGUGCCAGCAGCCGCGGUAAUACGGAGGAUUCGAGCGUUAUCCGGAUUUAUUGGGUUUAAAGGGUGCGUAGGCGGUUCGUUAAGUCAGCGGUGAAAUCCCGGGGCUCAACCCCGGCCCCGCCGUUGAUACUGGCAGUCUAGAGUUUGAGAGAAGUAUGCGGAAUGCGCGGUGUAGCGGUGAAAUGCAUAGAGAUCGUGCAGAACUCCGAUUGCGAAGGCAGCAUGCCGGCCUCACACUGACGUUGAGGCACGAAAGCGUGGGGAUCGAACAGGAUUAGAUACCCGAGUAGUC